AUGAAGAUUAAAGGUCAUGUAACACUCAUUCCUGUGGCUUUUACUGGCAUUAACCUUGCUCCCAGGUCAUUCUCUGCCCCUGUGGUGGGUAGUGGAGUGUUUCCCAUGUGGUAUUGGUGUGCUGGAUAUCCCUUCACUGGUAGCCUGGUAACACACACUCCCAGGUCUUUCUCUGCCUCUGUGGUGGGUAGUGGAGUGUUUCCCAUGUGGUAUUGGUGUGCUGGAUAUCCCUUCACUGGUAGCCUGGUAACAUACACUCCCAGGUCUUUCUCUGCCUCUGUGGUGGAUAGUGGAGUGUUUCCCAUGUGGUAUUGGUGUGCUGGAUAUCCCUUCACUGGUAGCCUGGUAACAUACACUCCCAGGUCUUUCUCUGCCUCUGUGGUGGGUAGUGGAGUGUUUCCCAUGUGGUAUUGGUGUGCUGGAUAUCCCUUCACUGGUAGCCUGGUAACAUACAAUCCCAGGUCUUUCUCUGCCCCUGUGGUGGGUAGUGGAGUGUUUCCCAUGUGGUAUUGGUGUGCUGGAUAUCCCUUCACUGGUAGCCUGGUAACAUACACUCCCAGGUCUUUCUCUGCCUCUGUGGUGGAUAGUGGAGUGUUUCCCAUGUGGUAUUGGUGUGCUGGAUAUCCCUUCACUGGUAGCCUGGUAACAUACACUCCCAGGUCUUUCUCUGCCUCUGUGGUGGAUAGUGGAGUGUUUCCCAUGUGGUAUUGGUGUGCUGGAUAUCCCUUCACUGGUAGCCUGGUAACAUACGCUCCCAGGUCUUUCUCUGCCCCUGUGGUGGAUAGUGGAGUGUUUCCCAUGUGGUAUUGGUGUGCUGGAUAUCCCUUCACUGGUAGCCUGGUAACAUACACUCCCAGGUCUUUCUCUGCCUCUGUGGUGGAUAGUGGAGUGUUUCCCAUGUGGUAUUGGUGUGCUGGAUAUCCCUUCACUGGUAGCCUGGUAAUAUACACUCCCAGGUCUUUCUCUGCCUCUGUGGUGGAUAGUGGAGUGUUUCCCAUGUGGUAUUGGUGUGCUGGAUAUCCCUUCACUGGUAGCCUGGUAACAUACACUCCCAGGUCUUUCUCUGCUUCUGUGGUGGAUAGUGGAGUGUUUCCCAUGUGGUAUUGGUGUGCUGGAUAUCCCUUCACUGGUAGCCUGGUAACAUACACUCCCAGGUCUUUCUCUGCCUCUGUGGUGGAUAGUGGAGUGUUUCCCAUGUGGUAUUGGUGUGCUGGAUAUCCCUUCACUGGUAGCCUGGUAACAUACACUCCCAGGUCUUUCUCUGCCUCUGUGGUGGGUAGUGGAGUGUUUCCCAUGUGGUAUUGGUGUGCUGGAUAUCCCUUCACUGGUAGCUUGGUAACAUACGCUCCCAGGUCUUUCUCUGCCUCUGUGGUGGAUAGUGGAGUGUUUCCCAUGUGGUAUUGGUGUGCUGGAUAUCCCUUCACUGGUAGCCUGGUAACAUACACUCCCAGGUCUUUCUCUGCCUCUGUGGUGGAUAGUGGAGUGUUUCCCAUGAGGUAUUGGUGUGCUGGAUAUCCCUUCACUGGUAGCCUGGUAACAUACACUCCCAGGUCUUUCUCUGCCUCUGUGGUGGAUAGUGGAGUGUUUCCCAUGUGGUAUUGGUGUGCUGGAUAUCCCUUCACUGGUAGCCUGGUAACAUACACUCCCAGGUCUUUCUCUGCCUCUGUGGUGGAUAGUGGAGUGUUUCCCAUGAGGUAUUGGUGUGCUGGAUAUCCCUUCACUGGUAGCCUGGUAACAUACACUCCCAGGUCUUUCUCUGCCUCUGUGGUGGAUAGUGGAGUGUUUCCCAUGUGGUAUUGGUGUGCUGGAUAUCCCUUCACUGGUAGCCUGGUAACAUACACUCCCAGGUCUUUCUCUGCCUCUGUGGUGAAUAGUGGAGUGUUUCCCAUGUGGUAUUGGUGUGCUGGAUAUCCCUUCACUGGUAGCCUGGUAACAUACACUCCCAGGUCUUUCUCUGCCUCUGUGGUGGAUAGUGGAGUGUUUCCCAUGUGGUAUUGGUGUGCUGGAUAUCCCUUCACUGGUAGCCUGGUAACAUGCACUCCCAGGUCUUUCACUGCCUCCAUGGUGGAUAGUGGAGUGUUUCCCAUGUGGUAUUGGUGUGCUGGAUAUCCCUUCACUGGUAGCCUGGUAACACACACUCCCAGGUCUUUCACUGCCUCCGUGGUGGAUAGUGCAGUGUUUCCCAUGUGGUAUUGGUGUGCUGGAUAUCCCUUCACUGGUAGCCUGGUAACAUGCACUCCCAGGUCUUACUGCCUCCAUGGUGGAUAGUGCAGUGUUUCCCAUGUGGUAUUGGUGUGCUGGAUAUCCCUUCACUGGUAGCCUGGUAACAUACACUCCCAGGUCCAUGGUGGAUAGUGGAGUGCUUCCCAUGUGGUAUUGGUGUGCUGGAUAUCCCUUCACUGGUAGCCUGGUUGAUGACUACCUAGCUGCCUGCUCUACCUUCAACAAUCUAUAGCCAGGCUUGGAUGAAUAUGCAGUUUUUGCCCCUAUAUUGCAACCUAUGUAUGUAAUAGUUUUAUGAUUUCCUGUACUGUAUCUACAUUGUACUGCCUGGGGGAAGGGACGGCAUGCUCCGACCCUUCUCCUUUGUUGUGAAAAAUAAACUUGUCAAUCAAU
Molecule: RNA transcript, 2616 nt
Organism: Eriocheir sinensis (Chinese mitten crab)
Lineage: Eukaryota; Metazoa; Arthropoda; Malacostraca; Decapoda; Varunidae
Exons: 12
Source: RefSeq, a predicted model, not a curated record